UUUACCGAAAAGAAUAUUAACAUUAAAUAAAAAUUAAAAUUAGCAAUAAUGAAAGAAAUCAAAUUACUACUAUAUAGAGAGGGAGCAUGCGGACGAUCAGGGGUAAUUCAGUCAUUUCACGCAGUCAUCACUUUAUCUCUAGAAGCAUCCCUAUCCUUAACUCUUAUUCCAACUUCUAACUUAACACAGAACACAUUCCGUGCUUUUUACAAGCAGACCACUUAGAGUUGUUCUGUCAUUCUUUGAAUCCAGGAAUAGCAAGGCUGCAAGAAUGGUCCAGUGUAAGCUGAUUAUUUGCUGUAGAAGAGUGAAGAGGUGGGGCAACCAAGGACAUUUCGAUCAAAUUAAUAUUCAUUUUCUUUCUGACGGUUCCAGCAUGACCUCUUUCAGUAUCAUCGAAGUCGGCGACUACACUACUACAAUCGAAAAUAAUAGUACAUAAAAAAGAGAUUCAUUUCUGACACGGUGUUUCAUACGUUGUUCUCUGGAGAGAUUUUAAUUGGUAUGCGGCUGUUGAGAAUAGUGGUUACGCAAGGUUGCCAUGCCAUCGUCCCUAUCAUUUGGAUGAUUCAAUAUUGCAGACUUCCAAUAUUGAUUCAAUGCAUAAGGUAAUUAGUGUCUGUUACAUGCUAUUUGUAGUGCACUGAACCUAAGUUCAGAAACAUCAGCUGCUUCAUCUCUUCACUCUUUUAGUUCUUCUUCUUGCAACUUCCAAUUUCACGUCCAAUGGGUCAUAUUUUCAGUUGUGUAAAAUAAAGAGCAAAGUUAGAACUAGAAAUGAAGAAGAUUUUCAUGAGACGUUGGUCAAAUUUUCUUCUCUUUGGAAUUAGCUGAUUUUGAGCUAA
This is a long non-coding RNA of Capsicum annuum, 845 nucleotides long. RefSeq lists it as uncharacterized. The transcript has 2 exons. The record is from RefSeq and is a predicted model, not a curated record. Lineage: Eukaryota; Viridiplantae; Streptophyta; Magnoliopsida; Solanales; Solanaceae.